GCCCCUAUAGCUCAGUUGGUAGAGCAGCGGCCUUUUAAGCCGACGGUCGCAGGUUCGAUCCCUGCUGGGGGCA
This 73-nucleotide transfer RNA is filed under the name Minisyncoccota bacterium. Its description in RNAcentral is "tRNA-Lys". It matches the Rfam family "tRNA". Rfam says of the family: Transfer RNA (tRNA) molecules are approximately 80 nucleotides in length. Their secondary structure includes four short double-helical elements and three loops (D, anti-codon, and T loops). Lineage: Bacteria; Bacillati; Minisyncoccota. The record is from RNAcentral.